GUAACCCUGCUGUGUGCGUGAUGCUGCGCCCACGGUUUUGAGCCAACACUUACAAAAAGGGUCUCCAUCUUACAGCGACGACGCGAUAGGCUUGAGCCAAGGCGGAGUCUCUGGGUCGAGACCCACCUGCGAAAGCAGGUUCAAAACUUUGCAGCACACGGCAUGGCGGGGUAUUG
This is a non-coding RNA of Anaerolineae bacterium CG2_30_58_95, 176 nucleotides long. Lineage: Bacteria; Bacillati; Chloroflexota; Anaerolineae. The record is from Rfam.